This 73-nucleotide transfer RNA is filed under the name Pseudomonadota bacterium. RNAcentral describes it as "tRNA-Trp". It matches the Rfam family "tRNA". From Rfam's summary of the family: Transfer RNA (tRNA) molecules are approximately 80 nucleotides in length. The record is from RNAcentral. RNAcentral also lists the same sequence under 1 other name. Lineage: Bacteria; Pseudomonadati; Pseudomonadota.
GGGCGCGUGGCGUAACUGGUAGCGCAGCGGUCUCCAAAACCGCAGGUUGCAGGUUCGAGUCCUGCCGCGCCUG